RNAcentral lists this unclassified non-coding RNA (250 nucleotides) under plant metagenome. RNAcentral's name for it is "partial contains small subunit ribosomal RNA, internal transcribed spacer 1, and 5.8S ribosomal RNA". The record is from RNAcentral.
GUAGGUGAACCUGCGGAAGGAUCAUUAACACGUAUCCACGUAUCAAAACCCCUCUGUGCAAUUCUCUCCGUUGAAGGUCUGAUUGGAGUUGUAUGCACUCGAUCUUAAUGAUGGGAGCUUCUCCUUCUCUGAAAGAGGAGCUCGGGAUCUAUGAGUGUGUACCGCGCUUGACAAUCGGGCCGAUAUUUUCCCAUCGUUAGGCUUUUUACCACAUUUUAACCCCUUGUACUUUUUAUGUACUGAACCAACU